This 253-nucleotide ribosomal RNA is filed under the name uncultured bacterium. RNAcentral's name for it is "partial 16S ribosomal RNA". It matches the Rfam family "Bacterial small subunit ribosomal RNA", at positions 524 to 776 of the family's 1533-position model. The record is from RNAcentral.
UACGUAGGGGGCAAGCGUUGUCCGGAUUUAUUGGGCGUAAAGAGCGUGUAGGCGGCCAGAUAGGUCUGUUGUGAAAACUCGAGGCUCAACCUCGAGACGCCGAUGGAAACCAUCUGGCUAGAGUCCGGAAGAGGAGAGUGGAAUUCCUGGUGUAGCGGUGAAAUGCGCAGAUAUCAGGAAGAACACCAAUGGCGAAGGCAGCUCUCUGGGUCGGUACUGACGCUGAGACGCGAAAGCGUGGGGAGCGAACAGG